This 750-nucleotide ribosomal RNA is filed under the name Listeria monocytogenes. Its description in RNAcentral is "bacterial SSU rRNA". It matches the Rfam family "Bacterial small subunit ribosomal RNA", at positions 48 to 779 of the family's 1533-position model. Lineage: Bacteria; Bacillati; Bacillota; Bacilli; Caryophanales; Listeriaceae. The record is from RNAcentral.
CUAAUACAUGCAAGUCGAACGAACGGAGGAAGAGCUUGCUCUUCCAAAGUUAGUGGCGGACGGGUGAGUAACACGUGGGCAACCUGCCUGUAAGUUGGGGAUAACUCCGGGAAACCGGGGCUAAUACCGAAUGAUAAAGUGUGGCGCAUGCCACGCUUUUGAAAGAUGGUUUCGGCUAUCGCUUACAGAUGGGCCCGCGGUGCAUUAGCUAGUUGGUAGGGUAAUGGCCUACCAAGGCAACGAUGCAUAGCCGACCUGAGAGGGUGAUCGGCCACACUGGGACUGAGACACGGCCCAGACUCCUACGGGAGGCAGCAGUAGGGAAUCUUCCGCAAUGGACGAAAGUCUGACGGAGCAACGCCGCGUGUAUGAAGAAGGUUUUCGGAUCGUAAAGUACUGUUGUUAGAGAAGAACAAGGAUAAGAGUAACUGCUUGUCCCUUGACGGUAUCUAACCAGAAAGCCACGGCUAACUACGUGCCAGCAGCCGCGGUAAUACGUAGGUGGCAAGCGUUGUCCGGAUUUAUUGGGCGUAAAGCGCGCGCAGGCGGUCUUUUAAGUCUGAUGUGAAAGCCCCCGGCUUAACCGGGGAGGGUCAUUGGAAACUGGAAGACUGGAGUGCAGAAGAGGAGAGUGGAAUUCCACGUGUAGCGGUGAAAUGCGUAGAUAUGUGGAGGAACACCAGUGGCGAAGGCGACUCUCUGGUCUGUAACUGACGCUGAGGCGCGAAAGCGUGGGGAGCAAACAGGAUU